GACGAACGCUGGCAGCGUGGAUUAGGCAUGCAAGUCGAACGGGAUCCGGAAGGUAGCAAUAUCGGCCGGUGAGAGUGGCGGAAGGGCGAGGAACACGUGGGCAACCUGUCUCUGAGGUGGGGAAAACCGUUGGAAACGACGGCUAAUACCGAAUGUAGCGCCCGCUCGCAUGAGCGGAGCGCCAAAGGGGGCGAAAGCUCCCCCUCUCCGAGGGGCCCGCGCACCAUCAGCUUGUUGGCGGGUAACGGCCCACCAAGGCUCACGGUUAGCUGGUCUGAGAGGAUGGCCAGCCGCACUGGGACUGAGAUACUGCCCAGACUCCUACGGGAGGCUGCAGUCGAGGAUCAUUUGCAAUGGGCGAAAGCCUGACAAUGCGACGCUGCGUGGAAGGAUGAAGGCCCUCGGGUUGUAAACUCCUGUCAUGGGGGAAAAGGAAACCCUGCCCAAUACGCAGGGAAUUUGAUGGUACCCCAAGAGGAAGCGACGGCUAACUCUGUGCCAGCAGCCGC
Molecule: ribosomal RNA, 509 nt
Filed under: uncultured bacterium
Lineage: Bacteria
Description: bacterial SSU rRNA
Rfam family: Bacterial small subunit ribosomal RNA
Source: RNAcentral